UUUGGUUAAGUUAGAAAGGGCGCACGGUGGAUGCCUUGACACUAGGAGUCGAUGAAGGACGGGACUAACGCCGAUAUGCUUCGGGGAGCUGUAAGUAAGCUUUGAUCCGAAGAUUUCCGAAUGGGGAAACCCACCAUACGUAAUGGUAUGGUAUCCUUAUCUGAAUACAUAGGGUAAGGAAGACAGACCCAGGGAACUGAAACAUCUAAGUACCUGGAGGAAGAGAAAGCAAAUGCGAUUUCCUGAGUAGCGGCGAGCGAAACGGAACAUAGCCCAAACCAAGAGGCUUGCCUCUUGGGGUUGUAGGACAUUCUAUACGGAGUUACAAAGGAACGAGGUAGACGAAGCGACCUGGAAAGGUCCGUCGUAGAGGGUAACAACCCCGUAGUCGAAACUUCGUUCUCUCUUGAAUGUAUCCUGAGUACGGCGGAACACGUGAAAUUCCGUCGGAAUCUGGGAGGACCAUCUCCCAAGGCUAAAUACUCCCUAGUGAUCGAUAGUGAACCAGUACCGUGAGGGAAAGGUGAAAAGCACCCCGGAAGGGGAGUGAAAGAGAUCCUGAAACCGUGUGCCUACAAAUAGUCAGAGCCCGUUAACGGGUGAUGG
RNAcentral lists this ribosomal RNA (606 nucleotides) under Bacillus anthracis (anthrax bacterium). Its description in RNAcentral is "partial 23S ribosomal RNA". It matches the Rfam family "Bacterial large subunit ribosomal RNA", at positions 1 to 599 of the family's 2925-position model. The record is from RNAcentral. Lineage: Bacteria; Bacillati; Bacillota; Bacilli; Caryophanales; Bacillaceae.